UCUGGAUCACCAUCUAGUGGCAGACGGGUGAGUAACACGUGGGUGACCUACCUUUUCGUUGGGGAUAACAGUUGGAAACGAUUGCUAAUACCGCAUGACACAUUGGGGUCGCAUGGCCUUGAUGUCAAAGAUUUAUCGCUGAAAGAUGGCCUCGCGUCUGAUUAGCUAGUUGGUGAGGUAACGGCUCACCAAGGCGACGAUCAGUAGCCGGUCUGAGAGGAUGAACGGCCACAUUGGGACUGAGAUACGGCCCAGACUCC
RNAcentral lists this ribosomal RNA (260 nucleotides) under uncultured Bacillota bacterium. RNAcentral's name for it is "uncultured Firmicutes bacterium partial 16S ribosomal RNA". It matches the Rfam family "Bacterial small subunit ribosomal RNA", at positions 79 to 339 of the family's 1533-position model. Lineage: Bacteria; Bacillati; Bacillota. The record is from RNAcentral.